CUUUUCUCCCGGCCGACGGAGCUGAAGGGGCGGGGGUUCCUUCCUUGGAGUGUUUCUAGAGCUCGGAGGCUGCUGGUAGGGGGGCACCACUUUCAGAUAAAAACAUAGACCUGAAUGGCAUCAUCCAGUAUCCAAGGAAACCAUAUUUUUUACAGACAAUGGGAAGCACUGACACCUUUAAGAGGGAUGUGUAAUACACUCGCUAAUGUUUCCUGUUGUGUUUCUGAAAACCUGUGUCAGAAAAUAUACUGUCUCGAACUGGAAAGAUGUGAGAUUCUUAAUUUUAAAGAGCUCCAUUAAUAUUGGUUCUCUAAACAUGAAUAUGCCUUUGGGGGAAGACAGAAGAACAUGGAAGCCAUGUGAAAAAAACGGAUCCUAAGAAGCAUUGAAAAGAACAACUUUCAAGUCAAAAGAAUCAAGGUGAAGAGAAUGGAUACUCAUGCCCAUGUGAAUUUGCUGCCCCAAGUCUACUGGAGGAUCAAGCUGCAGGUUUCAAUAGCUAUAGCCUGAAGAAUCUCUGUAAUGAACUAAAACAAUCAGUAAAAGAUCAGUUGCAGUGGAAGACAUUAUACUCUAGAUUUUUCUAGUAUUAUUAAAUUUGAAAAUGAUUUAUUCCAAAUUUUAACUUAGCUUUUAAUUUUACUAGUGUCAAAAUGUUGUACUACUUUGGACAACUGAUUUUUCCAAUAGAGAGUCAAUAGCAUCUUUGCAGGGUGGUUUAAAAGCCAAUAAUUUAAUCCAUAUUCUACUAAAACUUUUAAUAUAAGCAUUUUACCCAGAUGUAUUUUUUCCUUGUUUUAGAAAAUCUGAUUUUAAUUGCUAAAACUCGUUUUUAAAUAUUAAUUCAAUGAAAGAAAUGCUAUGGUUUUCUACUUUUUCAUUUCUUAAACUCAAGGGAAAACAUGGGUGAAAAACAAAAAAUUGUUCUGCAUAGAGUCUUCUUUAAUGUCUCACUUUGGUGAUGUAUGAAAUAAAAACCAAAUUGUUUUAACCAGCU
Molecule: long non-coding RNA, 997 nt
Filed under: Homo sapiens (human)
Lineage: Eukaryota; Metazoa; Chordata; Mammalia; Primates; Hominidae
Description: MEF2C antisense RNA 1
Source: RNAcentral